GUGGGGAAUAUUGGACAAUGGGCGCAAGCCUGAUCCAGCAAUGCCGCGUGGGUGAAGAAGGUCUUCGGAUCGUAAAGCCCUUUCGACAGGGACGAUGAUGACGGUACCUGUAGAAGAAGCCCCGGCUAACUUCGUGCCAGCAGCCGCGGUAAUACGAAGGGGGCUAGCGUUACUCGGAAUUACUGGGCGUAAAGGGCGCGUAGGCGGCUCUGUUAGUCAGGCGUGAAAUUCCUGGGCUUAACCUGGGGACUGCGCUUGAUACUGCAGGGCUUGAGGCCGAGAGAGGGUGGUGGAAUUCCCAGUGUAGAGGUGAAAUUCGUAGAUAUUGGGAAGAACACCGGUGGCGAAGGCGGCUCACUGGACCGACAUUGACGCUGAGGCGCGAAAGCGUGGGGAGCAAACAGGAUUAGAAACCCCGGUAGUCC
This 425-nucleotide ribosomal RNA is filed under the name uncultured bacterium. RNAcentral describes it as "partial 16S ribosomal RNA". It matches the Rfam family "Bacterial small subunit ribosomal RNA", at positions 354 to 796 of the family's 1533-position model. The record is from RNAcentral.